RNAcentral lists this ribosomal RNA (427 nucleotides) under uncultured bacterium. Its description in RNAcentral is "bacterial SSU rRNA". It matches the Rfam family "Bacterial small subunit ribosomal RNA", at positions 354 to 796 of the family's 1533-position model. The record is from RNAcentral.
GUGAGGAAUCUUCCACAAUGGGCGAAAGCCUGAUGGAGCAACGCCGCGUGAAGGAUGAAGGCCUUCGGGUUGUAAACUUCUUUUAUGAGUGAAGAAUAUGACGGUAACUCAUGAAUAAGCACCGGCUAACUACGUGCCAGCAGCCGCGGUCAUACGUAGGGUGCAAGCAUUAUCCGGAGUGACUGGGCGUAAAGAGUUGCGUAGGCGGUUUAAUAAGUGAAUAGUGAAACCUGGUGGCUCAACCAUACAGACUAUUAUUCAAACUGUUAAACUCGAGAGUGGUAGAGGUAACUGGAAUUUCUAGUGUAGGAGUGAAAUCCGUAGAUAUUAGAAGGAACACCAAUGGCGUAGGCAGGUUACUGGACCAUUUCUGACGCUAAGGCACGAAAGCGUGGGGAGCGAACUGGAUUAGAAACCCUGGUAGUCC